AUGGUGCAAUUGUCACAUGGGCCCGAUGUAUUCCGAUGGAACCUCCAUGGGAAUGGACAAUUCUCAGUGGAGUCCAUGUAUAGAGUGUUAAUCCAGUCUAAUGUGUUAGUUGAUAAUAACAAGAAGAUCUGGAAGAUGUAGAUACCUCUCAAGAAUAAAAUCUUUACAUGGUAUCUUCGUCACGGAGUCAUUCUUACUAAAGAUAACCUUAUUAAGAGAAAUUGGCAUGGAAGUCCGCAAUGUGUCUUUUUUCACCAUGAUGAGACAGUAAAACAUGUAUUCUUCUAAUGCAAAUUGGCCCGUUCUAUAUGA
Molecule: ribosomal RNA, 312 nt
Filed under: Triticum aestivum (bread wheat)
Lineage: Eukaryota; Viridiplantae; Streptophyta; Magnoliopsida; Poales; Poaceae
Description: partial small subunit ribosomal RNA
Source: RNAcentral